AGGACGCCGAAGGUGGGGCUAAUGACUGGGGUGAAGUCGUAACAAGGUAGCCGUACCGGAAGGUGCGGCUGGAUCACCUCCUAACAGGGAGACAACAAAAUGUUUAAUAUUAUUAUUUUGUCACCUUAGGUCGAUCGGUAUCUCACGUUCUUAAUUUAUUAAGAAUUUCAUUUCCUAAGUUUUUCUAGGUCACACCCAUUAUUUUCCUGGGCCAUUAGCUCAGGUGGUUAGAGCGCACCCCUGAUAAGGGUGAGGUCCCUGGUUCAAGUCCAGGAUGGCCCAUAUCUCUAUGUUGGGGGUAUAGCUCAGUUGGUAGAGCGCCUGCUUUGCAAGCAGGAUGUCAGCGGUUCGAGUCCGCUUACCUCCACUGAUCACCACCUCUUCCAUAAUCGAUAGAAAGGAAAUGUUUUGAGUUGUGAUCUAAUUCUGAACGAAUCUAGCUUCCUAAUGAAAUUAUUAAGAUGCUGGACUCAUUGAAUUAAUUUCAUUGUUUUCAGAGAACCUUGACAACUGCAUAGAUUAUUUUUUAAAGACAAUAAGCAUCUUUAAUGAUGCAGAUUUAUUAUUUGUGCGAAUGCAUUAAUAACAAUUCUAUUAAGCUGAUGCUUCAAUUUUGAAGUUAUUGGUCAAGCUACAAAGGGCUCACGGAGGAUACCUAGGCACACAGAGGCGA
Molecule: unclassified non-coding RNA, 673 nt
Filed under: uncultured Prochlorococcus sp.
Lineage: Bacteria; Bacillati; Cyanobacteriota; Cyanophyceae; Synechococcales; Prochlorococcaceae
Description: partial may contain 16S ribosomal RNA, 16S-23S ribosomal RNA intergenic spacer, and 23S ribosomal RNA
Rfam family: tRNA (bases 295-367)
Source: RNAcentral